UUUCAGUAUAUUUUCUAACUAGUUAGCUAGUUCUUACUGGUAUAUUGGGAAGCUAUUUUUGUAUAUUUAUUUUGUAAUUACCACGGAACUCUCUUAUUAGUUCUUAUAGUUUUACAUCUUUUUUUUUUUUCUUUUGAGGAAGAUUAGCCCUCAGCUAACUACUGCCAGUCCUCCUCUUUUUGCUGAGGAAGCCUGGCUCUGAGCUAACAUCUGUGACCAUCUUCCUCUAGUUUAUACGUGGGACGCCUACCACAGCAUGGCUGCCAAUAGUGCCAUGUCCGCACCCAGGAUCCGAACCAGCGAACCCCGGGCCGCCGAGAAGCGGAACGUGCGAACUUAACUGCUGCGCCACCGUGCCGGCCCCUAGUUUUACAUCUUUUUUUUGGUUACUAACCAUGUAAUAUGUAAUAUGUGGCAUAAAUGCUUCCAGUACUUUUUCCAGUGUCAGUGGCAGAAAUCUCUAAUUGAUCAUCCCAUCGACGCUGGGUGCAGAAAACCCUUCUCAAUCUGCACUCUGUUGGGAAACAGUUUUCUAUGGGUUUGUCACGCUUCUGCGCAUAUUCUGAGCAAGGCACUCACCGUUCUGAACUAUCUUUUCAAGGUUGUAUGUAUAGCAAAUAGCCUUAGAAGAUAAGGAUAGUGUCUUGCUCCAAGCAAAGGACAGGUUUGCUUAUGGCCUUAUAAGAUAGAGGUGGCAUCUCUCUCAUGAGCAAAGGGAAGAUAUGGCAGUAAGGAUAAAAGAUUCAGAUUCUUUGGGGCCGGCCCUGUGGCCGAGUGGUAAGUUCACGUGCUCCUCUUCAGGGGCCCAAGGUUUUGCCAGUUUAGAUCCUGGGCGCGGACAUGGCACUGCUCAUCAGGCCACAGUGAGGUGGUGUCCCACAUGCCACACUAGAAGGACCCACAACUAAAAUAUACAACUAUCUACUGGGGGGAUCUGGGGAGUAAAAAAAGCAGAAAAAAAAAAAAAAAAGAUUGGCAACAGUUGUUAGCUCAGGUACCAAUCUUUAAAAAAAAAAAAGAUUCAGAUUCUUUAAGCUCAGAGUUUUUCUGUAACACAUCUCAUUGUGUGUGCUGGUGUUCUCUGGCUCUCUUCACAUCACCUGGUAAAAAUCAAGAUUCAGGGAACUGGCCACUGUUAUUGAUGUGAGUAAUAAGUGGCCUUUCAUCUGUGAUCCAGGAGUCUUGCGUCUUCUACCAGCAUCUAGGAAACUGUGUCAGGCUAACUUAGCUUACAAGUAGGGUAAAAUCUCAGACCUUCUCAUUUCUUCAGUUUUGGUGAUGAGGAUGGGAUGCUGACAGAAACAUGGCUUUUUGGAAGAGGAAGGAUGAGAGCCUCACGGGUUUCAACAUGGGAUCUGAGGAGAGCCCAUGGAAUUGGCAGCAAACAUGUUCACUAAGUUGUAUGGUCAACUGGGCAAUUAAUAGUCCUUCAUUUUAUUUCUCAUAAGUUGUAUGGUCAACUGGGCAAUCAAUAGUCCUUCGCUUUAUUUCUCAUUAGUGAGGAGAAAUUGGGGAGGUGGUUGCAGACGAAGUGCCAGGAAAUAAGUUCAAAGAGAGCGGCCCGAAUAUGUCUGGCUGUUGCUAAUUCUCCCCAGGACUUUGUUACCCAUCCAGUGGGGGAGCCUCAAGUCUACCCCAUUGUAACAGCCAGUACUAAGUUUUGUUCUGAGUAGAAGGAAUGUUUCAUUCCUUUCAGAUAACAAUUACAGAGACGCACACCUACACUGACCAUGAAAGGAGGCGAAUUUGUGACUGCUAUGGGAAGAAAUCAUUAAAAUUUUGGCUGGCCUCUUGGGAGAUGAGGGGUGGUGUGUGCUAGGGAGAAUGAUGAUGGCUGAGACUCUUAUGGCUUAACCUCUCCUGCAGUCUAUUAUGUCAAACUCAGACCCACUGGAGAUGAGCGAAAGGCCGCAGAGUUCUUUUGCAGUGAGUUCUGGCUGCUUUAAGGGAGCUUUGGCCCUCAUAGGCAGAGUUCUCUGAGAAAGACAAACUGCUGUGGGAAACCAUAGUUGAGACAUUGACUAGUAUUUGGGUUCUUACUGCCCUGAAGUGGGUUUACAAUGCUAAUAAAGACAACCCACUGGGGAAUGAAAAACUGAACCAGAGGAAUCUAGAUAAAUUCUUGUGACCAGACCCACCACCUGGGAAAAAUCUCCCUAGCCCUUUUGUUGAAACUGGCCAGGAUCUUGAAGGAUGUUAUCUUGGUAAUGGUGUAGCACAGGGAUCAGCAAACUUUUUCUGUAAAGAGUCAGAUAGUAAAUAAUUUAUGCUUUGUGGGCCAUACCGUAUCUGCUGGAACUACUCUACUCUGCUGCUAUAGGACAAAAGCAGCCACAAGCAAUAUGUAAACAAAUGGAUGUGACUUUGUUCCAAUAAAACCUUAUUUACAAAAGCAGGCAGCAGGCUGGAUUUGAUCCAUAGUAGUUUGCUGAACCCUAGUAUAGCAGAUGCAUUGGAUGAAGGUGGCAUCUCAAAGAAGGUUGCUGCUAUGCAAACCAAGCCUGGGUCAGCAGGAGGUGGAAACCCCAUCACUCCAGCCAAAGGCAAUGUGAAAAAGAAGCUUCUUGGCGAAGGGGUUCUCAAUACUGUGAUAGAUGGUGUCAGCCGUGAGGACCUUGCUCCCUGACACAAAGUGGUAGGUGGGCAGAACACAUUGAAACUUCAUUUGGCUGAGCCAUGAGCUUCUACCAUGAUGCUCAAAAUCAAAAGUAAAUGAGAAACUUUGUUUAGUGAUGUGGAGCCAUCCCAUCCCUCCAUACUCCCUGACCGCCUCUCCCUAUCAAUCCUGACCUCAGCUACUUUAAGGAGAAAGAUGAUUAAAGGUAGGGCUCAAGUCUCUCCGUCUUCAAGGGGCAUCAAAGGUCAGACACACCCAUCUGAACAUGUGGGGGAGUUUUAGGAAGGGGAGGGAUUCGAAUUUUUAUGACUCUGUUGAUUAUGAGUGCCCAAUCACUAGCCUACUCAGACCCGUGGGAGGAAAAGUCACCCGGAUUCAGCUAUUGUGACUAUUACACAAACUUGGCACUUGGUAUAUUGUCUUGGACAUUAUCAACACUUUCUUUUUCAUACACCAACAUCUGAGAAUGAAGAUGAGCUCACGUUAACAUGGCAAAGUCUCCAAUAUAUGUUGGUAGUAUUUCCCCAAGUGUGCCUAAACUCCUGUGCCAUUUGCUCCCAGAAUUUAGUGAGUGUGCCUCUACCCUUUCAUGUCCACAGCUUUCACUAUUUGGAUGAUGUCCCAUUGGUUGGUGUUAUGGAAUGAACUGCGUUCCUCCAAAAUUCAUACGUUGAAGCUCUAGCCCCCAUUGUGACUGUACUUGCAGAUAGGGUCUUUAAAGAGGUAACUAAGGACAGAUGAGCCAUAAAGUGUGGCCCUAAUCCAAAAGAACUGGCAUCCUUAUAAGAGGAAGAGACCCCAUGGGUCAGUGUGCAUAGAAAAAAGGCCGUGUGAGGACACAGUAAAAAAGUGGUCAUCUGCAAGCCAAGGCGAGAGGCCUUAGGAGAAAGCAAACCUGCCAACAUAUUGUUCUUGGACUUCCAGCCUCCAGAACGGUGAGAAAUAAAUUUCUGUUGCUUAAGUCAUCCAGUCUGUGAUAUUUUGCUAUGUUGGCCCUAGUGGACUAACACAGUUGGCAAGUCAGAAGCCUCCGACUCAAAGGCCCUGACUACAGCAUUAUCACAUUUCUCCCAGUGGAAGUGGCUGACGAACCUUGAAAUAUUCGAGGGUCUUCUCACAAAAUAAUGAUUCUUGGGACUAUGUUGACAGAUUCGUAAUGCCCAAUCUCUCUGCCAAGUAGAACAGUCGGGAAAAGUUGCUGUCUCUUCUGCCCCUCAUCAUCGAAAAGAAGGCCCAGGACCUUAUUGGACUCAGGGAAUUUCACUGUAAGGGUGGUCACAAGAAACUUUCAAAUGUUUAAGGAAAUACCACCAGUAGAUAACGUAGCUGUCAGAAAGCUGUGGUGAUUUAUCCUCAGUAAAUCUGGGUCACUCAGGGGAGCAUCCUAGAGGACAACUGACUGGUUGUUUUCGCACAUGUUGCAGGCGAUUGUCUCUGUGAUGAGAGUCGUCUAAUAGAAAAGGUGGUAUGAAACCAGUUCCCGAUGUAAGCCGAAGUUAUUAGUGGCACGACUUUAGCCCUGGAAGGCAUUUGGGUUAGUCUCAACUUAUUGGCCAGGGUUGAUAUAGUUGGUAGAAUUGACUUCGUCUUCCUCCUUGCGGGCCCUGAUGGAGUCUGUGCAGUCACUGUCUUGCUAUGUCUGAAUCAAUAUCUUAGGCUGAGUUGAAAGGUUAACACAAAAACUUAAGGAGAAAAACACCUGGCUUUCUAAGGUAGACCUGAUGGUUUAUAGGAUUUGUUCGGCUGGCUGGGUCUGUUACUUGGAGUCCUGUUGAUAUCGGCCUUAAUUAGAUGCUAGAUGAGACAAAUGGAUUUGAUAUGGUCUCAGCCUCACUUCAUCUGAUUAAUUGGAGUGACCAACAAAGGGGGGAAGAUUCUCCAGAAGACAAGACGAGAUGCUGGGUAAAUGAGGGAUGGAUAUUGUUCUGAGGCAAUCCUCCAUGGGUCUCUUGUAUUUCUGCAUGUCUCAUGAGUGGGACACUCACUGCCCUUUGUUUUGUACUGUCUUUUCAAGGAUGCUUGAGUAGUGACAGCCUUGGGAGAUACAGUUUCUCCUUCCAAGAAAAGGACAGCUUUGCCUCCAUUCUUGGAAGAUCAAGAAGAUAGUGUCUCCCUCUAGAGCAAAGAGCAGGCAUGCUUAAAUCCAUUAUCAAAGUUUCAGCUCCCUAAGCUCAGGGUUCCUCUUCUGUAAUGCAACCUAUUAUGUCUGCAGUGGUCACCUGGCUCUCUUCAUGUCACCCUGUGGAAAUUGAGGCUUCGGGAACUGGUGCAAAAAUGCUGCUACUUUGGCUACUAUUGUUGUCGAUGGCGCCCUUUCAUUUUGUGGAGGCAGGAAAGACAGAGGAGGAGAAAUCUUCGUGGCCUUCACAUUUGGAUCAUACAGCGCAAUCCCUAAUGUAAUAUGAAUAGCAUCCUGAUGAAUUAGCCUUAAACACGAUGCUUAGCAGAGUAAUGAACAGAAUGCCUUGAACUCCAACACUGCUCCUGCCAAUGACAUCAGAAACCAUCCAGGGGAAGCAGUUAUCAUCCAAUGCCUGGUCUCAGAGGAUUUAAUGGCUCUGAGAGACAUGGGGAAGAAUGAAUUUGUACCUUAAGAAAUGCCUUUGAAACUACUGAAUCUUUAUUUUCAAUUAUGGAGAAAAAAACAUUGUCCACUGGCACCUAAAAGCUCUCAGACCUUUUGGUUUGAAGUGACGGAUUCCGGAACAACCCAAGGACUGGGUCUUUCCAGCUGAAUGAGACCCUCAGAUCAUACAGUACCAGGGACAGGGACGGCGUCUGAGGGACAGGCGGCUGAAGAUUCAGUUCCCACUCUUGUCUCCUGCCCUGGAUAAACAGUUCAGAAAGAGCUUUGUUCCGCUACAGUGACUGGAGAGCAGAAGCCAUGCUCCACUGGGGAGUGCUGUCUUUCCCCGGCUUUCUUGAUGCGCUUGGGUUGUUUGGGAGUGGUGCCGCAUGCAUCCCUUGCCUACUAACAGAACUGAUUUUGUUCAGUUGUUCAGAUGUCAGGAGCUGGGCCUCUCCUUGGCCCCAGGAGAUAAAUGUCUAUUAGUACAAAUCAACUACAUUAAUUACAUUCUGUUGGCUAGUAAUUGUUUUAGGAAUAAAGUCAUGAAAGAGCUCUGGCCAAUGAGAUAGAAGUGAAGGGGGUGGGGUGCUUCUGGGAAUGUUUUCCUCAUUCGUAAAAAGAGACACAAGAAAAGGAUGUUCUCUGUAGGCCUUUGGACAUUGCUGUGUUAGGAUAUAAUGCUUGGAGCUACUGCAGCUACUUUGCCACCAUGAGACUUCAAGCCUGAAGACAAAGGGCAACAUGUUGAGGAUGGAAGAGCCAAAAGUUAGAUAGAAAGAGCCUGGGUUCCUGAAGACAUGAUUGAGCUGAAUACCCAGUUCUGAACUCUACCUUAUGUGAGAUCAGCGCCCUUAUUUAAUUUUCUCUUAUUUACUCAAAGCCUUUUUGAAUUGUGUUUUCUAUUACAUGCAGCUGAAAGGAUUUUAAACUGACAUGCAUCUUUGCCUCCCCUUUCCCCACUUCCUUGCCUUACCCUCCUUUAUUUCUUAGAUGUUGGCACUUGCAAGCUCAGGCAUCUACAUAGAUCCCACAUCAGCUGCCCAGCUCUGAGGACAUGUAUGGCACGGGGGUUCUUCAAAACUUCUUUGAAACCUCCUUGAUGGCUCAGAAAGGAACACCUUUAAAGCAGCAACCUGAUAAACACCAGUUCCACUUUUCCUUUCAAGUGUGGCAAGACAUUCAUGAAACUUCACAGGAACGGCAAGGACCUGGGCUCUUUGGCAGAGCACCUCGUGGUGACCCAUUUUCACUUGUCUAGCCUUCUCAUCCUCUUACUGGGGGCACAGUGUCUCACCCUGCAGGAUUCUGCUUGCCUGGGAGAGGAGAGUUAGGUCACUGUAAGAUGGGAAGACCUGAAGAAUUUUUAUUUCCUAGAGAUUUUUGCUUUUUCUUUCCCAAACUGGAAAAACAGAAAAAUAAAUCCCCCACAUAUUUCUGAAGUUCUUUUCUUCCCAAGUCCUCACAUCUCUAAAUAUAUCAAACAUGAUAAUUUUUUGAGCAACCAAGUUAUACAUAAUACAUUUUAUGUUCUUAAAUGUAUCAAGUGAUUUUAGAUCUGUACAGGAUGCUAAAAAACAAGAACAGAUAGUGCCCAAUUUGUAAAUUAAUUUGGGAGUAUAACUUUUUUUAAGUGGGUUGCUUGAAUGCAGAAUGCUUUUUCUUAUAGAAACAAUGGUGGUUGAGUUCCAAGUCUGGACCACACAAACCCAUGUAUUCCACAUCGAGCCGCAGCUUUGUUGUUUACCAACCACACUAAUACCGUUAACGCUUGCUGAGCCUCUCCUCUGUGCCUGACUCUUUACUUCCACCUUUUUAUGCGUUAUCACAAUGAUUUAUUUCUCACAACAGCUCUGUGUCAAAGGGAACCAAAGCUCAGAUAGCUUAAGUAACUUGCCCAAGGACACACAGCAUGUAAAUGGUAAAACCAGGACCCUGUGGGCUCUCUGGCCGCAGGGUUAGUUGUUUUCACAUUUAUCUUGCCCUCCUGAUGGGUCUCAGCCACCAUCUGCAUCAAUGUUUCUCUGGAAAAAUGUGUUCCAAAUUCCAACUGCCAAGAGCACGUCUCUCAGGCCUGGCAGCUAAAGUCCCCCUUUGCCCUUCCAAUUUCCCUUUUUUUCUCCUCAAUAGCAGAGAGAGAGAAAGAGAGAAAAAGAGAGAGAGACAGAAAAAGAGAGAGAGAGAGACAGUAUAUCCGUGUGAAGGUUGGCCCAGCAUGAAAGCCUCAUCCUGUCAUUUGCCAGACAGCCUGUCUCCAUCUCUGGCCUUGCCCAUCCGCUGGCUCCUCUACCCCAUCCUGUAGCUGAGCUGGAGAUAACGCACACACUCCUCGUUACAUGUCUACUGCUUCUGCCACCGGUUUACAGCCCAGCCACUGACACAGGUUUGAUAAAAGGGCUUGGUGAUUAUUCAAAUCCCAGCUUAGACUAGGACUUACCUUUGCGAGCCUUCAAUGAAAUGUGGCUUUAAAACAAGCAUAGUCAGAUUUCUGUCCCCUACCCUCUUGGUGUCUCAGGUGGUGAGGACCAUCAUAACGGUCUUUAUACCUCAUCUCUGUCCCUAGACCUGCCCUCCCUCUUCUCACCAGGCUAAUCUCUCCUUUCCAUGCUUCUGAAAGUGUUGGGAGUCUUGUAAAACCAGCCAGGCAGUCUCAAUGCCUCCAGUUGGCCUGCAUCUCACCCAAUGUACUCUCACCUAUGUAUUUCUUAUUUACAAAAAUCUUCCAGCCCAGUUUUGUAGUCUCCCUUGAGAGCAAGUUCCACCCCACCCCUUUUCCGUAAAAGCAAGACCUAAUUUCUCCGUUACCGUGUAACUAUCUUAUGCAUCUUCUACCGCUCUUAGGAAGAACUUAAAC
Equus caballus (horse) is the source of this 8037-nucleotide long non-coding RNA. The record is from Ensembl. NCBI's taxonomy places the organism in Eukaryota, Metazoa, Chordata, Mammalia, Perissodactyla, Equidae.